Non-coding RNA from Picea glauca (white spruce), 100 nucleotides. The record is from Rfam. Lineage: Eukaryota; Viridiplantae; Streptophyta; Pinopsida; Pinales; Pinaceae.
CUAAGUGGGCUUGAUUGUGGGGAAAAAUCCACAGUUAAGCGCGCUUAAGCCAGAGGCGUCUUGGGAUGGGUGACCACCUGGGAAGUCCUGGUUACUAAGU